RNAcentral lists this ribosomal RNA (110 nucleotides) under uncultured bacterium. RNAcentral's name for it is "partial 16S ribosomal RNA". It matches the Rfam family "Bacterial small subunit ribosomal RNA", at positions 1373 to 1482 of the family's 1533-position model. The record is from RNAcentral.
CCCGGGUCUUGUACACACCGCCCGUCACACCAUGGGAGCGGGUUCUGCCAGAAGUAGUUAGCCUAACCGUAAGGAGGGCAAUUACCACGGCAGGGUUCGUGACUGGGGUG